GGGGCUGCGGCUCAGUGGUACAGCAUCUGCUUUGCAUGCACAGUGUUCCAGGUUCAAUCGCUGGCGUCUUCA
Non-coding RNA from Podarcis lilfordi (Lilford's wall lizard), 72 nucleotides. Lineage: Eukaryota; Metazoa; Chordata; Lepidosauria; Squamata; Lacertidae. The record is from the annotation of a GenBank genome assembly.